CACCAAUCCUCCUGGGUUCAGAGAUGGAACUUGGGUUAAAUGCAUGGAAUUUAUUCUUAGUCCUUUUCUUAAUUACGACUUUUUAUUUCUCUGGUGUUCUCUAGGGGAGGGGUUAGAGAAGAGAGGAAAAGGAAGAAAGAAAGGGGGCAGGGAAAUAUAGAUUCAAUGCUUUUGUUUUGUUUCUGGGCUGCUUGCUAUCAGCAAAGUAGAGAGAUUUAACGGAUCUUGCCGAGAAUGCAAGCCUCAUUCCAAGGAAGCCAGAGCUCAGAAGACAUGGAACAAAUACAAUGAAAACAUAACUUGAGGUCGGAAAAUGUCCCCUGAAUAUUUAUGUCAAUGUCCUACCUUAGUGAAUAUUACUUAAUACUGUGGCUCCUUUAAAGCAUGUAAGUAGCUUGCAUUGUGAUUUCAUUAUGAAGUCAGAUGGAAUGAGGAGUGUGUAAAUCCAGAAUCAGAAUCCCAGCGACGAAGCUUUUCUUGCUCUGUUACCUUGGAAAAUGCUUUGAACCAGACCAGAUAAGAAAAGUAAAAGUCUGGAGUGUAAUCCUUCCAAUUGUCUUUUGGCUUCUCUUCUACUUCUACAAAAAGUUCAACAAGUCGGUGGGCAGAAGUCUAAAAUCAAGGUGUCAGCAGUGUGGAAUCCUUCUGGAGGCUUUGAGAAAUUAGAAUUUGAAACAACGGAAAGAGAGAAAUUUUAGGUUAGUAGCUAAAUCCCCAAGGAUACUAAUUAGAGAAAGAUGUUGGAAUUGCCUUAAUGAGUCACUGCCAACGCAAGUCCUAAGGAAGCAAAGACUGUGAGUAAGCAAAGGUAGCCAGCUGCUGGGAAGAGGACAAUAGAGGAAAAGGUCAGAGGGACUUUAAAAGACUGACUGUGGGCUCCCUGAGGGAAGGAGGGAUGGAGAGAGUAUCGGGUCCUAUAGAAUACCUUAAUUGUUUUUAUGACUUCUCUUUUCCAUAUCCAGUUCACAUGUACUCCUUUCUGUGCAUUAAAUUGAGUUUCUAUUGGCUUCUUUGUAACAAAAAGAACUGAACAGAAACACAUAUCUAUUGGACAAAGAGCAAUAAAAUGAUAUAAUAACUGUAUCUGAG
RNAcentral lists this long non-coding RNA (1089 nucleotides) under Homo sapiens (human). Its description in RNAcentral is "HSALNT0354566". The record is from RNAcentral. Lineage: Eukaryota; Metazoa; Chordata; Mammalia; Primates; Hominidae.